RNAcentral lists this transfer RNA (73 nucleotides) under Micromonospora saelicesensis. Its description in RNAcentral is "tRNA-Gly". It matches the Rfam family "tRNA". From Rfam's summary of the family: Transfer RNA (tRNA) molecules are approximately 80 nucleotides in length. Their secondary structure includes four short double-helical elements and three loops (D, anti-codon, and T loops). RNAcentral also lists the same sequence under 16 other names. Lineage: Bacteria; Bacillati; Actinomycetota; Actinomycetes; Micromonosporales; Micromonosporaceae. The record is from RNAcentral.
GCGGUCGUGGUGAACUUGGCGGACACGUCGGUCUUCCAAACCGAAGAAGCGGGGUCGGUGCCCGCCGACCGCU